Long non-coding RNA from Papaver somniferum (opium poppy), 1239 nucleotides. RefSeq lists it as uncharacterized. NCBI's taxonomy places the organism in Eukaryota, Viridiplantae, Streptophyta, Magnoliopsida, Ranunculales, Papaveraceae. The record is from RefSeq and is a predicted model, not a curated record. The transcript has 2 exons.
UUUAAACUAAUCUAUGACAACUUUCAAGCUUUGUUCAUAGAGUAUAUCAAAAAGUGCAAGGCCGGUCUACUAAGAAUUUAGACCAUGUUCUUGUUCAAGCUCUUGAGUUGUGCUUGGUUUUUCUUUCUCAUGGUAACUUUUGCUGCCUCAGUAGCAGAUCUUGGCUUUCAGUACAAUGGCUUCGUAGAUGAUCAAAAUUUGCAUCGCGACGGCAUGGAAGAUACCACACCUGACGGAAUCUUGUGGUUAACAAACACGGAAAGAAAAUACGCAGUUGGCCACUGCUUCUACUCCAAUCCAGAUCAAUUCCAUAGCAACUCCUCUUCAUCAUCAGCCAACGGUAACACAACUACUACUGCAGUUUGCUAGAUGGCAUGUCUUACGGAGUAUCAUGCUGAUCUACUGAAAGUUUGGGACCCGUCCUACGAAAAAAGAUCGGUAAGCUUCAUGGCGAAAAUGCAGAAGAUGUGGGCGUGAAGGUUGACAGUCCUGCUCAGGAACACCAGCAGAAGUUGAGACUGCAGUUGUUAAAGCUUAGAUCUGCGUUCUUACAUCUCCACUUUUUUUCUUCUUAAAUAUUUGGUUUGCUAUAUAUUGUAUCUUUAUGUAAGUGUUAAGUGGCAUGCCAUGCCGUCUCGAAACUUGAAAAAUAGAUUGAAGUGCUAUUACAAACUCAUAUCUUUAAUUCAGCAUCAUCACAUUAUUGUCACUAUCUCUAGCUUAAUGGUUGUGUAACAUGAUUUGAGCUCUGCGCAGGAUUUAAAACUACACAAGGAGCAUGAGUAUAAGAAGGCGAUAGCUGGAAAGCAAAGUGCUGCAGGAUCACAGUCAAAGCCAUUUAGCUUCAAUCAGAGCAAAAUUUUGGCCUAUUCAGACCAUAGGACCCCUUGAGACAGGAAAGUCCUUCAGCAAAUUUUUCUGGCUUGAAUUCUUCUGAACCAUCACCCCAAUAUUUGGACUCCAAUAUAACAAUUGCAUACAUUCCAACAUCGUUUUUUGAACUUUUUUUAUCCUAUUAAUCUCAAGUAAGAACAAUCAACUAGCAAAUAUUUUUAUUUUAUUUUUGGGUGGAAUAUGUAUGAUCCCAUGGUUCCGGAGGUAAUUGGAUUUAGUUUAGGAAUUACUUGAAACGGUGAUAGAAAUAUUAUUUUGUUUCUUUGAAUGGACAUGGCAGAAGGGGUUUAAUCGGCUUUUGUCACCUCAUUUAACUAGUCAAACUGGUUGAUUUGUCACUAUAAA